CCAGGACGGAGCAGGGAGAGGAUGGUUGGAAGCCAUCUGGUGUUUGAGUACCCACUGAGGCUAAGCAGGCACUACAGUUCGCCCUUGACUCCCCCAGUCUGGGUUUGCUGUCACUGACCAGCGAUGGGGAGAAGAGCUCAUGUCCUCUUCCUUGCCUCUUACAGAUGAGGUGCUGGAUGCUCAGCGCUUUUCCCUUUCCUAUGGCUGAAUGUCGGCUGAUGCUGUUUGCUAAACAAGAGUGCCGGUGGCAGAGGAAUUAGAAGAAAUCCCUUCUUAAUUGGAAACAGGACAAAUCCAGGCAAACGGGUGCUGAGCCAGCAACAGCAUGGGACCAGCUCGCCUUCUGUGGGUAUCAUUGAAAUUCAGCAUCCUUCACUGCCUCAAACAUUGAGGUCCUGCAGGUAUGACUUUGCUUCAUGUGGAUCUCCAAAGUUGCUAAAGAUGCUAAUGAACCUCUACUGUAAGGUCUGAAAUCAUCCAGGAUGACAGCAGAUCUUUCCCAAAGGCUGCCCAGGUCAGGAAGGGGGGGAACUGCAGAGGCAAAGCAGGAGGAAGUAAGAAGGAUGCUUGUCCCAGUGCCCUACUCAACUACCUUCUCUGGCGUGGCUUUGAGGGGGGCCCAGAGGUGGAAGGAGUGGAAAUCUGGCUCCAGGUGGCAGUCCUGAUUUGCAUGUCCACUCUUUGGAGCUCCCAAGCACCUCCUUAGGCAGUUGACCUGAUCACAGGUAGUGGGGUACUGAGCCACGUUGGAGCCUUGCUAUUGUAGCUGCAGCAUACUCUGGGGAGAAAAAUAUGGAAGGGGGAGGCUUGUAUCUCCUUGGAAAAAGCUGGGGUGUGCAUUUGGCUUUCUCCUCUGAGUAUUCUUGUUUUGCCUCUGAGCCGCCCCCUCC
This 890-nucleotide long non-coding RNA is filed under the name Gallus gallus (chicken). The record is from RNAcentral. Lineage: Eukaryota; Metazoa; Chordata; Aves; Galliformes; Phasianidae.